Molecule: unclassified non-coding RNA, 380 nt
Filed under: uncultured Alphaproteobacteria bacterium
Lineage: Bacteria; Pseudomonadati; Pseudomonadota; Alphaproteobacteria
Description: contains 16S-23S intergenic spacer region
Source: RNAcentral
UCGCGGCUUAUCACCGGCAGUCCCCUUAGGGUGCCCAACUUAAUGAUGGCAACUAAGGGCGAGGGUUGCGCUCGUUGCGGGACUUAACCCAACAUCUCACGACACGAGCUGACGACAGCCAUGCAGCACCUGUCACCGGUCCAGCCGAACUGAAGGACUCGAUCUCUCGAGUCCGCGACCGGGAUGUCAAGGGCUGGUAAGGUUCUGCGCGUUGCUUCGAAUUAAACCACGUGCUCCACCGCUUGUGCGGGCCCCCGUCAAUUCCUUUGAGCUUUAACCUUGCGGCCGUGCUCCCCAGGCGGGAUGCUUAAUGCGUUAGCUGCGCCACCAACAAGCAUGCUUGCUGACGGCUAGCAUCCAUCGUUUACGGCGUGGACUAC